Molecule: ribosomal RNA, 459 nt
Filed under: uncultured bacterium
Lineage: Bacteria
Description: partial 16S ribosomal RNA
Rfam family: Bacterial small subunit ribosomal RNA
Source: RNAcentral
CCUACGGGAGGCAGCAGUGAGGAAUAUUGGUCAAUGGGAGAGAUCCUGAACCAGCCAAGCCGCGUGAGGGAAGACGGCCCUAUGGGUUGUAAACCUCUUUUGUCGGAGAACAAAACCCGGGACGUGUCCCGGACUGCGUGUAUCCGAAGAAAAAGCAUCGGCUAACUCCGUGCCAGCAGCCGCGGUAAUACGGAGGAUGCGAGCGUUAUCCGGAUUUAUUGGGUUUAAAGGGUGCGUAGGCGGUCCGUUAAGUCAGCGGGAAAAUUGCGGGGCUCAACCCCGUUGAGCCGUUGAAACUGGCAGACUUGAGUUGGCGAGAAGUACGCGGAAUGCGCGGUGUAGCGGUGAAAUGCAUAGAUAUCGCGCAGAACUCCGAUUGCGAAGGCAGCGUACCGGCGCCAGACUGACGCUGAGGCACGAAAGCGUGGGGAUCGAACAGGAUUAGAUACCCUUGUAGUC